RNAcentral lists this ribosomal RNA (328 nucleotides) under uncultured eukaryote. RNAcentral describes it as "partial 18S ribosomal RNA". It matches the Rfam family "Eukaryotic small subunit ribosomal RNA", at positions 1470 to 1796 of the family's 1831-position model. The record is from RNAcentral.
CCCUUAGAUGUCCUGGGCCGCACGCGCGCUACACUGAUGCAUGCAACGAGUUUAUAACCUUGGCCUGAAAGGUCUGGGUAAUCUUUUGAACGUGCAUCGUGAUAGGGAUAGAUUAUUGCAAUUGUUAAUCUUGAACGAGGAAUUCCUAGUAAACGCGAGUCAUCAGCUCGCAUUGAUUACGUCCCUGCCCUUUGUACACACCGCCCGUCGCACCUACCGAUUGAAUGGUUCGGUGAAGACCUCGGACUUCGAUAUUUAUUCUUUAUUGAGUUUAUAUUGUGGGAAGUUAUCUAAACCUCAUCAUUUAGAGGAAGGUGAAGUCGUAACA